Molecule: ribosomal RNA, 6326 nt
Filed under: Triticum aestivum (bread wheat)
Lineage: Eukaryota; Viridiplantae; Streptophyta; Magnoliopsida; Poales; Poaceae
Description: partial small subunit ribosomal RNA
Source: RNAcentral
AGGAUAGAAUAAGCAAGCAAGAGUAGUACGUAGGAGAGUAACAAAAAACGGGAAGGUUGGUUGGUGCUUAUCUUCCCAUAAACUACGAGUAGUAGUCGAUAAUCAAACACCUAAUCACCAUCGCCCGCCCACAAUAUCCUCUCUCCACACGGGAAACAAAACAAAAACAAAACAAAACAGGGGGCAGAAGAAAAGAAAAGAAAAGCCAAGGAAAAUAGCCGAGGCGGAGGAACACGAGCGGGGAAGGAAGAAGAAAUUUCGGAAGGGAAUCCAUCCACCCCCCGUCGGGCCAGCUCGCUCGCCACCCCCCUUCCUCCCUUCCUCCCUCCGAGCGGAAUCCCUAGUUUCCGGGGCGCCGAAUCGGGGAUCCAAAAUCCGGAGCCAGUCCACCCUCUUCCUCCCUCCUCCCACCCACUGCUCUCUUCAUCCCGCGAUUUCUGUUUCGUUUCAUCCGCCGUUGUUGCAGUAAUUAAUUAAACAAACGGGACAAAACCCUACCCUGCCGAGCCCAAUCCGUCGGUCGCCCCCGGAAUCCCAAUCCGAUCCCAGUUCCGCUGCCGGAGCACGGGAUUACUGCCCGUCCGGGGGACCGGGGGGAUGGCCGCCGCGGACGCAGCCUAGGAUGGAGCUGGACUCCUCCGGCGGCUGCUCGGCUGCUCCCGCGGAUGCUGUGAUCGUCGCCGCUACUCGGGCCGGGCUCGGAGUCGGGGGCGCGUGGCGGUGGACGUCGGCCGCGAGGGCGAGAUCUCCCCGCGCGGCCUCGGAGUAGGCUAGCCGGUCAGCGCGCGCGCGUGCGUAUGGAGGGGAGCGGCAGGCAGGGGAAGGGCGGGGCGCCGACGUGGGCGCCCAGCGAGGGCACGGUGUUCCGGCCCUUCGUCGCGGCCGCAGGGGCAGGGGCGGCUGAGCCGUCGCCGUCGGGGUCGGGCAGUGGCGUUGCCGCACGCAUAAGCAAGCUUCAUGGGGUCAAGAGGAAACCGUGCGUUGCGAGGCUAACGGCGGACAUCAUUAACACUUUUGAAAGAUGCCACCCUGAGUUUAAGUACUCAGAGACACUAAACCCAAAGCGCUUUCUCACCCAUCCUUCGACCCCAGCCCACAAUGAUGGAGUUGACAAUGCAAAUUGGGACCUCAUAUUGUAUGUCAACCUGGAGUUGGUUAACAAGACAUCAAAUCGGAGGUUCAUUGUCAAGGAAAUGCUUGGCCAAGGCACGUUUGGCCAAGUUGUGAAAUGCUGGGACACAGAAACCAACAAGUAUGUUGCUGUGAAGGUUAUAAAAAACCAGCCCGCGUUUUAUCAGCAGGCCAUCAUGGAGGUUUCACUGUUGAGAACGCUAAAUCAGAAAUUUGAUCCUGAUGAUAAGCACAACAUUGUCCGAAUGCUAGAUUAUCUCUCAUUCCAAAAUCACCUGUGUAUUGCCUUUGAAAUGCUCGGUCAAAAUCUGUAUGAGCUUUUAAAAAGGAAUCAUUUAAGAGGAUUGAAAGUGCAAUUUGUACAGGCCUUCUCAAAACAGAUAUUAGAUGCCAUGAUAGUGAUGAGAGAUGGUGGCAUCAUUCACUGCGAUCUGAAACCAGAAAAUAUCCUCUUAGCUCCGACUGCAAAAACAGCUGCAGCAGUGAAAGUUAUCGAUUUUGGAUCAGCAUGCCUGGAGGGUAAAACUGUGUACUCAUACAUCCAGAGCCGCUAUUACAGGUCUCCAGAAGUUCUCCUUGGCUAUCCAUAUACUACUGCGAUUGAUAUGUGGUCAUUCGGUUGCAUAGUUGCCGAACUGUUUAUAGGACUACCCUUAUUUCCUGGUGCAUCAGAAUAUGAUGUGCUUAAGCGUAUGCUAAAGAUUCUCGGGGGGCAACCACCAGAUGACUUGCUAAGGGAAGCUAAGAAUACGGCUAAAUUUUUUAAACAUGUUGGAAGUAGCUAUCUGGGUAUUGGGGCACAUGAUGGCCCUGGCACUGCAUACAGAAUGUUAAGUGAAGACGAGGUUGAGGGGAGGGAGACCAAAAGGCCGAAAUUAGGGAAGUGGUACUUCCCACAGCAAAGGUUGGACCAACUAAUAUAUACCUAUCCUUGGGACAAUACAAAGUUGCCAGAGACAGAAAAAGCAGACCGCGUGCUGUUAGUUGAUUUCUUGAGGGGACUUCUUGAAUUUGAUCCAAAUAAGCGAUGGUCGCCAUUUCAGGCGUCAGGCCAUCCAUUCAUUACAGGCGAACCUUUUACUGGUCCAUAUGAGCCUGUCUCUGAGACUCCAAGAAUUCCUGUUGCUCAUGCUGCAGCAGUUGAUCACAAUCCAGGAGGAGGUCACUGGUUAGUUGCAGGUCUUUCCCCUCAGGUUGGAAGUGCGAACAGAUGUCUACCUCCUAACCCCUAUCCUCCAAAAGUGCCUUUUUCUUAUGGGAGUAGUUAUGGAAGCCUUGGUAGCCAUGGUAGCUAUGCUGGCAAUGCUGGUCUUGCUAGCAGCUAUGGAAGCUAUGGUGAUGUUAAUAAUGGUAACAUGUAUUACUCCCCAUUAGGUCCUUCUGGAUUUUCACAUGUUAGCUCUAGUCCAGAUAUUAGGCUGAGACCUCGUCUCUCUUACGAUAGAGGCAUUCGAUUGAGCCCUGGAGGUAUGGGGCCUAUGUCUCUUGGUGCCAGUCCAUCACAAUUUACCCCACCAAACUACCAGAUGCAUACCCCGCCUAAUUCUACUGGGAAGCAUGGCUCUGGUUCUCCUGCUAGUGGAGGCAUUCAUGGCUCCCCAUUGGGAAAAGCUGCACCACUAGGCCAAUACAGCAAGAGGAAGAACAUGCCGAUGCCACCACAUGAAUAUGCAUCUCAGCAUGGACAAGGACGACAUGGAGAUGGUGUCAGUUUUAGUCAUUCGGAUGCCUAUAUUCGCGGACAUGCUGGCUACUCUCAGCACUCAUUACCUAGUUCUGGUCAUUCUAGUUGGAGACCGCAAAUAGCUUCCAGGAGUGGUUUUUCCGUGGAGGCUUCUUCUAGUCAUGGGCCUUCCCAAGCAUAUAAUUCACAUAAUGCUCCACCUUUGCCCUCAUUUGACGUAUUACCGGAUACAUCAGCUCCAUCAAUACUUGAUCCUUCUGAUUGGGAUCCUAAUUAUAGUGAUGAGUCACUAUUGCAAGAAGACAAUUCAUUGUCAGCUGAUUUAAGCAGCAACCUUCAUCUUAGGGAUGCAACUUGUCAGCCAGGCGGAUCUGCGAGAUCAACCCGUGCCCAAAGCCACAACUUUGCAAGCUCAAACCCUUUACCGACAAGCCAAAGCUAUGGAGCAGGUCAACAACUGCACUCAGGCUCGCAUGGGAGGGGCACCCGUCCUACUGUUCCAAUCAGUUACGGUGGUUUCAACCCUCCGAAUUAUCCUCAGCAAAGUCUCCGGGGUCGCCAUGGACAUCAAUUUCUACAACCGAGAUACAACCAGCCAACUAACAGUCACAUGCGGCCACCGAUGGGGAGUCACCAAAGUGGGCAGCCUGCAUGGCCUCCCUAUGGCAUGGGCGAGGGAGUGCCCUGGGGAGGAACAGGCGUGCAUCCGUUUACGACGGGCGGGCUACCCUCGUCCCUUCCCAGAAAAGAUUAUGGGAGCAUAUUUUAGUGUGGACUCGGAGGAAUGCCAUUCAUUGCCGGGAUAAAUUAUUUGUACUGGCGAAACCGGAGUUGCAAUGGUUCUGGCUAUUGGUUUUCUUUUUCUUUCCUGCAAUGUUGCUGCAUUUGCGUUGCUCCAUUGGGUCCCUGAUUGUGAAGACAGUCUUGAACUCUAUGAUAUAUAAUAGAAUCGAUCGUUACAGCAUUAUCUGGUUGUGUUCACUUGGUGAAGCCUUUCGAGCCUUAGGAAUCCAGACUCAGCGCUGCCUUAGAGUUACAACUAUCCCAGAUUCUACAUUGUUUUUAACUGUUCAUUGCUCUCACUGUUGCAAUGCCAUUGCCUUGGUGCUCGCAUACGCUUGGGGUCCGCAAACCUUGGGAGUUUUUCCUUGAUACCUACAGAAACUGAAAACUUUCCAGUGAAAUUCAAGGGCGCCAAAUAGACCGAAAUUCCCCUUCUGAGACAUCUUGUUGAAGUUCCGCGGUUGUGUUUGGAAUGUGGGAACUAUCCCUGUGCUCUACGAGAUCGAGCCAUUUCUCGUGAUGCUUUUGCGAACUUAGGUUCUGUAUGAAAUUCCGGUUUAUGUAACACCCUGAGCAAAACGGCCGAAACUGGGCCGUCGCGCGGGGAAAAGGAAAAGCUGCGACACGAGUCACGACUGCCGCCGCGUCGCCACUGCUGCCCGCGUGCUCGCUUCCCCCUCCCUCCACCCCCAACUCGAUCUCCGGCUGCCGCGGCGCGACGCCGCAGAUGGCGAAGUCUGGGUACACGCGCCCGCCGCCCGUCGCCGAGGACACAGCCGCGCUUCCCGCUCCCAGCGCCGUCCUGUACGUGGCCAACUGCGGGCCGGCGGUGGGGCUGACCCACGACGACGUCGCCGCGGCCUUCGGCGCCUUCGGGGAGGUCGAGGGGGUCAGCGCCGCCGACGACAGCGGCGCGCGCGUCAUCGUCCGGUUCCGCGAGCCCGCCGCCGCGGGGGCCGCGAUGGCCGCGCUCCACGGGCGCCCCUGCGGCCGCCUCUCCGGGCGCGUGCUGCACAUACGCUACUCGGUGCCCGCCCCGCCCAAGGCCGCCGUCGCCGUCUCCGCUCCCCCGGUGGCCCUCUCCUCGUCGGAGCUCGGCAUCCCGGGCAUUCACUUGGUCCAGGAGUUCGUCACCGCCGCCGAGGAACAGGAGCUACUUGCUGCUGUGGACAGUAGGCCGUGGAAAAGGUUGGCGAAAAGGCGAGUUCAGCAUUACGGUUAUGAGUUUCUGUAUGAAGUAAGUUCGACCUUGUAAGUAUAUGACCAUCCAGAUUGUUCUUCUCUCCGCAACUCUAUUUGCCCUUCUGCAAUCAGUCAGAUUGGUUACGUUUAGUAGUACUAAAAUAAGUUCGCACUGUCAGUUCUUUUUGUACAAUAUAAGUUCAUAUACUUUCCAGAGGAUAUAAUUCUUUCUUCAGUACAAAAUGAAAAAGGCACUCACUCAAAAAUGUCAAUUGCAUUUUGCCUGAUUUUGUCAGCUCUGCAACAUCAGUGCUAACCUGUCAUGGCCCUUCACACUGUUAGUGCCAUUUUGGCAACUCUUAUUCCAGUGUACAAAUGUAGAGCAGAAGAAAAAAAAAUGUCGGUGUACAGAACGAAAAUUGGACAAAAGAAGAAUGCUUUAUGAAGUUUUACCAUGAAACCAUAUGCAGUCAACUAACUUCUUUCUGUAGAGAGGGAUGAUGUACUAUGAACAACUUUCCACAGUUCAUAUCUCCUUUGCCACUCCCACUCAUUACCUUUAAUCAUCAAAUCUUGAUGUGAAGGCUGCUCAAAGUUACAUUGUAACGAGGUUUUGUUGACUUUACAGACCAGGAAUGUUGAUUCGAAGCAGUUCUUGGGUGAGUUGCCAUCUUUUGUUUCAAAAGUCCUCGACAAAAUUGUGACAUUCCCUGGUGUCAAGAAUUGUACUGGCAAACUGGUGGAUCAAUUGACGGUAAAUGAAUAUCCUUGUGGUGUAGGUUUGUCUCCACACAUAGACACACACUCAGCAUUCGAAGAAAUGAUUUUUAGUCUUUCUUUGGCUGGACCUUGCAUUAUGGAGUUCAGACAAUACCCGAAAGGCAGUUGGCGUGCUCCAAGUGUGGUCAGUGGAGCUGAUGAAGGUAGUAUCCAAGAUCCACAAUGCACGCGGAAAGCUGUAUUUCUACCUCCUAGGUCAAUGUUACUCAUGUCUGGAGAAGGCCGAUAUGCUUGGCAUCACUAUAUACCACACCAUAAGGUUGAUGACGUGGCUGGUCAAGUCAUUAAAAGAAAUUCGCGAAGGGUUUCCUUCACUUUACGAAAGGUGAGGAUGGGUCUUUGUGAAUGUGAAUAUGGGCAAUUUUGUGAUUCACAGAGCAAGUAAGAUAUCAACAUUGGAUUAAGGAUAAGAUCUUGAACAUUACCUGCUACACCAUUGGCGAAUUCAUUAUCACCAAUCACAGGCUGGUGAUCUGGUGGGUGAUGUUUCAUAGGACUGAACCACUCCAACUAAGGAAAGUCAGCUGAAGCAUAUUUGAGCAAACCAAUAGAUAGUGUCACCAUUCCAGCAAGUUUUGUAUCUUGUAGCGAACUAAGUUUGAGUCUGAAAUUCUCAAAUGAGUCAUGUAAUUUGCCACCCGGAGGCCUGAUUUAUCCAGUUGAGAUAUUUUUGUUGUAUUUGUACAACUACAGUGAUCACCAUUUAUUCUCAUAUUGUUGAUAUCGUUGUGGAAUUCAAUGAUAUCAUGUCAAUGUUAUUCUGGAA